RNAcentral lists this ribosomal RNA (1210 nucleotides) under human gut metagenome. Its description in RNAcentral is "bacterial LSU rRNA". It matches the Rfam family "Bacterial large subunit ribosomal RNA", at positions 1150 to 2387 of the family's 2925-position model. The record is from RNAcentral.
CGAGAGGUCCUGCGCCGAAAAUGUCCGGGGCUGAAACACACUGCCGAAGCUCAGGAAUCUGCGAAUGCAGGUUGGUAGAGGAGCAUUCUUAAAGAGACGAAGCUGUACCGAAAGGAGCAGUGGAUUUUUAAGAAGAGAGAAUGCCGGAAUGAGUAGCGAGAAAGAGGUGAGAAUCCUCUUGGCCGAAUAUCUAAGGUUUCCAGGGUAAAGCUGAUCUGCCCUGGGUAAGUCGGGGCCUAAGGCGAGGUCGAAAGACGUAGUCGAUGGAUAACAGGUUGAAAUUCCUGUACUAUCCUGUAACAGAACUGUGGGGACGCAGACAGAGAGCACAAGCCGGGAAUGGAAAGACCGGUGCAAGCGAGGUAGGAGUACAUCAGGCAAAUCCGGUGUGCAAUCCGAAGACGUGAUGCGGAUCGAAAAGAAGUAGAGAAGUGUGUGAGCUGGCUGCCAAGAAAAGCCGCUAUUGUUUACAGGAUACCCGUACCGUAAACCGACACAGGUGGAUGAGGAGAGAAUCCUAAGGCCGACGGGAGAAGCAUUGUUAAGGAACUCGGCAAAAUGACUCCGUAACUUCGGGAGAAGGAGUGCCAUGCGAAUGGCCGCAGAGAAUUGGCCCAAGCAACUGUUUAGCAAAAACACAGGUCUAUGCGAAACCGAAAGGUGAGGUAUAUGGGCUGACGCCUGCCCGGUGCUGGAAGGUUAAGGGGAGAGGUUAGCGCAAGCGAAGCUUUGAACUUAAGCCCCAGUAAACGGCGGCCGUAACUAUAACGGUCCUAAGGUAGCGAAAUUCCUUGUCGGGUAAGUUCCGACCCGCACGAAAGGCGUAAUGAUUUGGGCACUGUCUCAACAAUGCACCCGGUGAAAUUGAAAUACCAGUGAAGAUGCUGGUUACCUGCGCCAGGACGGAAAGACCCCAUGGAGCUUUACUCUAGCUUGAUACUGGGAUUCGAUAUUGCAUGUACAGGAUAGGUGGGAGACUAGGAAGUGGUGACGCCAGUUGCCAUGGAGUCAAUGUUGGGAUACCACCCUUGCAGUAUUGGGUUUCUAACCAGCAGCCGUGAUCCGGCUGGGGGACAAUGUCAGGUGGGGAGUUUGACUGGGGCGGUCGCCUCCGAAAGGGUAUCGGAGGCGCUCAAAGGUUCCCUCAGAAUGGUUGGAAACCAUUCGAAGAGUGCAAAGGCAGAAGGGAGCUUGACUGCGACACCGACGG